Hypanus sabinus (Atlantic stingray) is the source of this 4869-nucleotide long non-coding RNA. RefSeq lists it as uncharacterized. The transcript has 5 exons. NCBI's taxonomy places the organism in Eukaryota, Metazoa, Chordata, Chondrichthyes, Myliobatiformes, Dasyatidae. The record is from RefSeq and is a predicted model, not a curated record.
ACUGCGCAUAUCCACGGUCCCCGGAAGAGGGGCGGAUUCAAUUUUGUUCCCUCUGAAGUAGGUCGUAUGCGGGGCCGAUUGGGAGAGGGAGGCGAUCCUUAAGAAGGCCUGGUGACUGCAGAGCGAGGAACGCAAGUUCCCGUCGAUCCUGAGGGCUAGCAACAUUUCUUCAACCUGGUGGUCGAAGUUUUGAGGUACUUUACCUUUUCCCCGAUGGCUGCAGCAAGAACAGAGCCUGGCCGAGGUGGUGAGGAUCUUUGAUAGAUGUUGCUUCCCUAUGGCAUCUGAGGGAGAACUCCCAAGUUGGAAACACACUUUGAAAUGGAAAGAAAUUAAAGGGACUUCUGUCAUUGAACUCAUCAGGGGAAGAUGAUCAGACCUCAUGAGCCGCAGUACAGUAGAAGGCUAUAUUGAGGGCUGUCCCCUAAUGGAAUAUGAUACCACUGAAGAGGAAUGGAAACGGACACCUCAGGGGCUCUGGGGUCGGAUACUCGGUCCAGGGUCAUGGAACCGGCCCAGGUAAGGAUUGUUUUUUUUUAUUUAAUUUUUUUGGCUCUGCAUAACAAAACUUUCAAUUUCCAGAAACAUUUACAUUUCUUCCCCACACAGAUAUCAGCUAUCAGAACACUUCCAUCAAACUAUAGACAUCACCCCAACAUACUAUACAAAAACCCUUAUUAGUAUAGCAAACAGGUUUACUUCGACAUACUGCAGAAAGGUUUGCCAAGUUUUAUGAAAACUCUUUGUUUUUGAGUGUACCAUACAUGUCAAAAAGUCCAAAGGAAUCUAUUCCAUGAUUAAUUUACGCCAACCAAAAAGUCCAGGGCCCUUCUCGGAUAUCCAACAAAAGUAAAAUGUUCUUCCUAGCACAAAAAGCCAGGAUGUUAAAAAGUUUUUUCUGAUGUGCAUUAAUAAUACGACUGCUGGGUAAGCCUAGAGAAAAGACACUGGGUCCAAUUUAAGCUCCAUCUUCAGAAUCUUUUUCAUUUCACCCAAAGUAUCAAUCCGUGUGCCUGAAGUUUGAAAAACUUCCAGUAUUUACUUUGCAUUUAGAACACAUUGGAGAAACUCCCACCUUAAAUUUCAAGACACAAUCUGGAGUCAGAUGGGCUCUAUGCAGAAUUUUGAGUUGAAAACUGAAAUUUUCUUUGCAUUAUCACAGAUACCUUCCCAUGCUUCAGCUGCAAUUUCUAUUCCCAGCUCUUCCUCCCAGACCCUUCCCAGCUGCUCAACCUCUCCACAAGAACAUUCCCUCAGGUUGCUGUAAAAAGUACUAAUGCAGACUUCACCUUCAGAUUAAAGCAUGCUCUUUUCUAUGUCAGAAUUAUAGAAAUCAGUUAACCAUGAUGCCUUUUGUCUGUAUAUAAUCUCUUAUCUGAAAGAAACAAAAAUGAUCCUUGUUGGGUAUGUUAAAUUUCUGUACUAUUUGACUAAAAGAUAUCAUUGUUCCUUCAUCACACAAAUCUCCCAGAAUGAAAAUCCCUUAGAAAUCCAAAGUUUAUAUCCAGAAUCCAUUAUGCCAGGCUGAAAAUCUGGACUGCUGGUUAUUGGAGUGAAGGUUGAUAUUUUUGCUGCGUUUCCCUCAAUUUGUCGCACCGCCCUCCAAGCCCUGACUGUAUAAUUGUUAUUGGGUUGUGAAAAUAUUCCUUAUCUAGUUUCAUCUUAUUGAGGAAAAGCAAGUUGAUAAGAGGGUAUUUUACUUGUGAAGCUUCAAUGUCUAGCCAAAUUGAGGAGUGGUCCCUGCAAACCCAAUCAACCACAUAAGAUCAAAGGAACUUAAUUGAUAUCUUUUGAUGUCUGAAAAAUCCAGACCCCUUAGAAUACUGGGUAUUUUGUUGUUCCAGAUGAAAGAAACAAACCAGCCAUUAUUUCUUUUUAAGUAUUUUUUGGGUAAAAAUGACUGGAAUCAUUUGUAUUGGGUAGAGCGAAGAAGAAGGUUCAUUUUGAGCAAGGAUAUUCGGCCAAGCCAAGAAACGGGAAGUGUGCUCCAUUGCUCAAGAUCCUGUUUGAUUUUGUCAAAUAACUGUGUAAAAUUAGGUUCGAACAAUCGAUCAAACAUAAAUAUGCCUAAGUAAACAAAACCUGUCUGCAACCAUUUAAAGGGCAAAACACCCCGAGUGUCAGGUACCUGCUGCAAAUUCCCCAGAGGCAUAGCCUGAUUUUCAGGCAUAACCUGAAAAUGCUCUAAAUGAAUUGAUGCAUUGUAUAAGGUGGUGGGUGAAGGAUUAUUAAUUUAACUAGAGGCCUGAGACUUCUGGUGCUUCCACAAGAACCAUUGUUGGAGCCGGUUUUGACUUUGAUGUGAUUUUUGCGAUAAAUGGAGAUAAUCUGGUAUUAAUGAAAUCAUUUUCUCCGCACUAUUACCAGAAACUGAGAUGCAGGCACAGGUACACUGGGGACUGGAAACUUUUGAUGUGUUUUGAAGGGAUGGGGCAUGGAAGGCUGAUCCAGCAGCUAAUCAUCCAUCUGUAUUUAUCCAUAAGAAGCUGGUGGUGAGCCGUUGCCUUGAACCUCUGCAGCUCCUGACGUAUGGGGUAGGAGAGAGAUCCUUGAUUGAUGGUGUGUAGCUUUGAAGACAAAUCCCAGCCUGUCUCUCCAUGCUUUUGCUGCCUUUGGUCGAGCUCAUGGGUUUGGAAGUUUUCUCUUGAGCCCGGUGGAAUGAGUGAACAACUGUGUCUCAGGUUUUGCAUUAUAUCAAGCUCCUUGAGUGAAGCUUCAGUCAAUGAGGAAAGCGAUAUUCCAUCAUCCUAUCUAUCCCUACUUGCCUGUGGCCUUAACGGUCACGUACUUACAGAUACCAAUUACAGCAUUUCACAGUUAUCACAGCCAUCUACCUCAGGCACAGGUUAGUCAAAUGACAGAUUCCACCAGAGGCACCUCCUUAUAUAUCCUCUCCAGUAUGCAGGGCAUGGGCAGGGCUUAAUGCAUGAUCUGAAUUGCCUGUUCCUGUUUGGUCAGUUUGAAUUGACCCUGUUCUGGUUGGUUGAUUGAUCUGAUUCCAUCAUUCUGACUGGAGAUGAAGUAUAUUUUGAGUAGUUUCCAAUCACCCCCAUGACAGUGGAAACAUCGCUGAACGGAUGGACAAAGCAUUAUAGUGCAGAGCACUGGUAGGGCAAUCAUUUGCUGGGCUGGCAGCAAGGGUUAGAUGCUGUUCCUGAGGUGCUUAUACUUUUUUUUUCUCAGUUAUGUUUGGGGAAAUAUUUCAUUUUCAUUUCUGCCUGGGCUUGUGUUUAGUUUCCUUUUUUCACAGAUCCAAAGACUGAAAUCCUUCAACUGCUGUCUCAUUGUGACAAUUACCAACUGUUUCAGUUGGCAAAUUUCUAUAGAGAAAGACUGAAACCUGCAAUUGAAGAAUGGAUUGAAGAAUUUGGCUUAAUUUUGAGAGAGGAGGGACAUUUCAGUGGACAGGAGCACGAGAUUCUGGUGCCGAGGAUCUUGUCUCCACUCUCAGUCAAAGCUGAUCAGUGGAGGAGCUGGACCUGAGAUCAAACUCCCUCACAGAUCGAUCUGUCCACUGACUCUGCCGCCUCAUACAGACUCUCCUGAGUGUGAAAUGGAUCUGUUCAGUUGGCAGGAAACAGCUGAAAUUCCUGCAGGAACCCAGAUCCCAGCUGACUGUGGAACUGUGAACAUCUGGAAGUGGGAACUACUCCGCCCUUGGAGUGGGAACAUUUCUGGCGAAUUUCUCAUCCAUAAAACUGGAAGGCAUAUGGAGGAGCAAAAUCGGUCCACUCAGCCCUUCGCAUCUCCCUAACAUUUGAUCACGGCUGCUUUAUUCUCAUGCUCAAGCCCAUUAUCCUGCUUCCUCUCCUUUGCCACCCUGAUUAUUCAAGAAUCAAGCCACUUACACUUUAAAUAUACCCAAUGACUUGGCCUCGCAGCUGUCUGUGGCAAAGAAUUCCAAAGGUUCCCCAACCCUGGCUAAGGAAAUUCCUCCUCAUCUCUGCUCAAAAGGAACACUCCUCAACUCUGAGACUGUGCCCUCUGAUUAUAGACUCUCUGACUUUUGGAAACAUCCUCUCCAUGUACACUCCAUUCAGACUGUUUCAAAACUAUCUUCUCCACAGCCUUCUCAUUUCCAGUGAGUACAGGCUCUGAGAUAUCAAUCACUCCUAAUAAUUUUUUAAAAACUUUCAUUCCCUGGAUCAUUUACUUGAAGCUCCUCUCCAAUCCGAACACUGUUCUUCAGUAAAGGGCUCAAACUGCUCACAAUCCUCCAAAUGUACAAUAAAUGUUCGGUUAAGAUUAGUGCAGUAUAAUUUUCUACAUCAAUUAUAUAUGACACCACAAAAAAUAAAUAAAUUAAAUACAAACUUAUCGGAUCAGUGUUUCCGAUGUAACCAGGAAACUGGUACUUUUUUUACAUUCUACAUGGUCUUGUUCUAAAAUUCAACCUUUUUGGACAAAUUUAAGACUUUUACUGGAACAAAUUACAGGAACACAAUUUCCUCAUAAUCCAAUAUUACUCUUAUUAGGCGAUAUUGAAGGGAUAAAACCAAAACUCAAACUAAAUAAAUACCAGAAAGAAUUUAUAAAAAUUGCACUGGCAGUAGCCAAAAAAGCUAUUGCAGUUACUUGGAAAUCGGAUACAUAUUUAAGUAUAGAUUCUUGGAAGAAAUAAAUUUAUGGUUGUAUUCCAUUAGAAAAAAAUACUUAUAAUUUAAGAGAUAAAUAUGAAACAUUUCUGAAAAUUUGGAGCCCUUAUUUACAAAAGACAGGAUUAAAUCUAUAAAUAUUCUGAAGAUGAAACAAUUGGUUAUUUGGGGAAAGAAAUAAAUAUACAUAUUAAAGUUAUUACGAAUUCCAUGGAGCAUGUGGAGAUCUUCCAACAACCAGGCAUUCUUUCUUUCUUUUUUUUCUAUAGGGCAG